UACGUAGGUGGCAAGCGUUGUCCGGAAUUAUUGGGCGUAAAGCGCGCGCAGGCGGUUCUUUAAGUCUGAUGUGAAAGCCCACGGCUCAACCGUGGAGGGUCAUUGGAAACUGGAGAACUUGAGUACAGAAGAGGAAAGCGGAAUUCCACGUGUAGCGGUGAAAUGCGUAGAGAUGUGGAGGAACACCAGUGGCGAAGGCGGCUUUCUGGACUGUAACUGACGCUGAGGCGCGAAAGCGUGGGGAGCAAACAGG
Molecule: ribosomal RNA, 253 nt
Filed under: uncultured bacterium
Lineage: Bacteria
Description: partial 16S ribosomal RNA
Rfam family: Bacterial small subunit ribosomal RNA
Source: RNAcentral